AAUAAGAGCGUAUGGGGAAUGCCUAGGCUCUCAGAGGCGAUGAAGGACGUGAUAAGCUGCGAAAAGUUACGGGGAUUGGCACAUACAAAUUGAUCCGUAAAUAUCCGAAUGGGGCAACCCAGCAUGUUGAAGACAUGUUACACUGUAAAGUGAGCAAACCCGGAGAACUGAAACAUCUAAGUACCCGGAGGAGAAGAAAACAAAAGUGAUUCCGCUAGUAGUGGCGAGCGAACGCGGAUUAGCCCAAACCAAAAAUGUUAAGGCAUUUAUGGGGUUGUAGGACUACAAUGUUCGAGUUGUAAUGAAUUAGAAUAGUUUGGAAAAACUAACCAAAGAGGGUGAUAGUCCCGUAUAAGUAAAGAACAAUAAGAUAGUAGUAUCCUGAGUAGUGCGGGACACGAGUAAUCCUGUAUGAAUCAGUCGGGACCAUCCGAUAAGGCUAAAUACUCCUGAGAGACCGAUAGUGAACUAGUACCGUGAGGGAAAGGUGAAAAGAACCCUGAAUAAGGGAGUGAAAUAGAUCCUGAAACCAUACGCUUACAAGCGGUCGGAGCCCUUUGGGGUGACGGCGUGCCUUUUGCAUAAUGAGCCUACGAGUUACCGUUGCUAGCAAGGUUAAGUGAUUAAGUCACGGAUCCGUAGCGAAAGCGAGUCUGAAUAGGGCGCUUUAGUUAGUAGUGGUAGACGCGAAACCGUGUGAUCUACCCAUGGGCAGGUUGAAGCUGUAGUAACAUACAGUGGAGGACCGAACCGGUUGACGUUGAAAAGUCUUCGGAUGACCUGUGGGUAGGGGUGAAAGGCCAAUCAAACUCGGAAAUAGCUCGUACUCCCCGAAAUGCAUUUAGGUGCAGCGUUGAUUUAUAGUUUUAUAGAGGUAGAGCUACUGAUUGGAUGCGGGGGCUUCACCGCCUACCAAUUCCUGACAAACUCCGAAUGCUAUAAAAUGUUCAUCAGCAGUGAGGGCAUGGGUGCUAAGGUCCAUGUCCGAAAGGGAAAGAACCCAGACCAUCAGCUAAGGUCCCAAAAUAUAUGUUAAGUUGAAAAAACGAGGUUGAACUGCUUUGACAGCUAGGAUGUUGGCUUGGAAGCAGCCAUUCAUUUAAAGAGUGCGUAACAGCUCACUAGUCGAGCGGUUCGGCAUGGAUAAUAAUCGGGCAUAAACAUAUUACCGAAGCUAUGGACUUGAAAAAGUGGUAGGGGAGCAUUGUAGUGGCGUUGAAGGUGUGUUGUGAGACAUGCUGGAGUAGCUACAAAAGAAAAUGUAGGCAUAAGUAACGAUAAUGCGGGCGAGAAACCCGCACUCCGAAAGACUAAGGUUUCCUCAGCUAUGCUAAUCAGCUGAGGGUUAGUCGGGACCUAACGCGAACCCGAAAGGGGUAGUGGAUGGACAACAGGUUAAUAUUCCUGUACCUGCUCACACUAAAAGUGACGGAGGCGAAUAGUUAGUGCGCACAGACGGAAUUGUGCGUUGAAGAGAGUGGUAACACCUCGAUAGUACACUAAGACUACGGUCGCGGUGAUAAUCUAGCGAAUCGACUUCCAAGAAAAGCAAGUGAAGCAGCCCGUACCCUAAACCGACACAGGUAGUUGGGAUGAGAAUUCUAAGGAGCUCGAGAGAUUCAUGGCUAAGGAACUAGGCAAAAUAGACCUGUAACUUCGGGAGAAAGGUCGCCAUCCUUCGGGAUGGCCGCAGUGAAAAGGUCCAGGCGACUGUUUAUCAAAAACACAGGGCUAUGCUAAAUUGAAAGAUGACGUAUAUGGCCUGACACCUGCCCGGUGCUGGAAGGUUAAGUGGAGUUGUUAGCUUCGGCGAAGCAAUAAAAUGAAGCCCCAGUAAACGGCGGCCGUAACAAUAACGGUCCUAAGGUAGCGAAAUUCCUUGUCGGGUAAGUUCCGACCUGCACGAAUGGUGCAACGAUCUGGACACUGUCUCAGCCAUGAGCUCGGUGAAAUUGUAGUAUCGGUGAAGAUGCCGAUUACCCGCUGUGGGACGAAAAGACCCCGUGAACCUUUACUAUAGCUUCACAGUGAACUUUGAGCAUGUUUGUGUAGGAUAGCUGGGAGGCUUUGAAGUGGGAACGCCAGUUCUCAUGGAGCCAACCUUGAAAUACCAGCCUGACAUGUUUGAGGUUCUAACUUGGUCCCCUUAUCGGGGAUGAGGACACUGUGUGGUGGGUAGUUUGACUGGGGCGGUCUCCUCCCAAAGCGUAACGGAGGAGCACAAAGGUGGGCUAAGCAUGGUCGGACAUCAUGCGGUUAGUGUAAUGGCACAAGCCCGCUUAACUGCGAGACAGACACGUCGAGCAGGUACGAAAGUAGGUCAUAGUGAUCCGGUGGUUCUGUAUGGAAGGGCCAUCGCUCAACGGAUAAAAGGUACUCCGGGGAUAACAGGCUGAUACCCCCCAAGAGUCCACAUCGACGGGGGUGUUUGGCACCUCGAUGUCGGCUCAUCACAUCCUGGGGCUGAAGCCGGUCCCAAGGGUAUGGCUGUUCGCCAUUUAAAGUGGUACGCGAGCUGGGUUUAGAACGUCGUGAGACAGUUCGGUCCCUAUCUGCCGUGGACGUUGGAGAUUUGAGGAAAGCUGCUCCUAGUACGAGAGGACCGGAGUGGACGAACCUCUGGUGUUCGGGUUGUGACGCCAGUCGCAUUGCCCGGUAGCUAUGUUCGGACAGGAUAACCGCUGAAAGCAUCUAAGCGGGAAGCCCCUUCCAAGAUGAGAUCUCCCUGGACCCUCGAGGUCCCUGAAGAGCCGUUCAAGACCAGGACGUUGAUAGGUCGGGUGUGUAAGCGCU
Molecule: ribosomal RNA, 2793 nt
Filed under: uncultured Micromonas
Lineage: Eukaryota; Viridiplantae; Chlorophyta; Mamiellophyceae; Mamiellales
Description: partial Bacterial large subunit ribosomal RNA
Rfam family: Bacterial large subunit ribosomal RNA
Source: RNAcentral